CCUGGUCAGAUAAGUUCAAGUUCAUCCUCAAACUGUGAACAAUGGCGGAAAAGCAACAGAGCUGAAAAAUGUCCCACCAUUGCCCACGUCAAAGAGACAAAAUAAGAAGACUAAUGAAGAAAAGCAGUGUAAAAACAGAGAAUUGGACCGAGCCAGAGAGAAAACUAUGAGGUGGAGGAGCAGCAGGAUUUGUAAGGACUCCAGUGCGACGCAGAGUUGGCGGCUUUUCUGCUGAACAAAUCUUUUACUGGCCAGGAAAGUUUGAAACUGGGAGGAGAGGACCAAGCUGUAGUUCAUCCUCAGAGGAAUGACAUCAGGCACACAGAGGGGAAAAAGGAUCACGAAACAGCCCCACAGAUCAGAAGCUAUCCUUGGCUGUUAGCUAAUUAGCUCAUGGCCCAGUUAGCUGUGGGGCCGGUGGCCAGAGAGUUUGUUUGGACCAGGACCUUGGAUCACAGGGCGACAGGGCCCAGCUCACCUGGAUCUGGCAGCCUGACGUGAGAGGGAACCUGGCUGGACCGGAAACCAAACCAGGACUGACAGCCUCCAACACGAACUGAGGACCAGCUGA
Long non-coding RNA from Acanthopagrus latus (yellowfin seabream), 571 nucleotides. RefSeq lists it as uncharacterized. The record is from RefSeq and is a predicted model, not a curated record. NCBI's taxonomy places the organism in Eukaryota, Metazoa, Chordata, Actinopteri, Spariformes, Sparidae. The transcript has 3 exons.